RNAcentral lists this ribosomal RNA (301 nucleotides) under uncultured bacterium. Its description in RNAcentral is "partial 16S ribosomal RNA". It matches the Rfam family "Bacterial small subunit ribosomal RNA", at positions 509 to 809 of the family's 1533-position model. The record is from RNAcentral.
CAGCCGCCGCGGGAAAACGAAGGGGGCUAGCGUUGCUCGGAAUUACUGGGCGUAAAGGGAGCGUAGGCGGACAUUUAAGUCAGGGGUGAAAUCCCGGGGCUCAACCUCGGAAAUGCCUUUGAUACUGGGUGUCUUGAGUAUGAGAGAGGUAUGUGGAACUCCGAGUGUAGAGGUGAAGUUCGUAGAUAUUCGGAAGAACACCAGUGGCGAAGGCGACAUACUGGCUCAUUACUGACGCUGAGGCUCGAAAGCGUGGGGAGCAAACAGGAUUAGAUACCCCGGUAGUCCCUGUCUCUUAUAA